RNAcentral lists this ribosomal RNA (253 nucleotides) under uncultured bacterium. RNAcentral describes it as "partial 16S ribosomal RNA". It matches the Rfam family "Bacterial small subunit ribosomal RNA", at positions 524 to 776 of the family's 1533-position model. The record is from RNAcentral.
UACAGAGGGUGCGAGCGUUGUCCGGAAUCACUGGGCGUAAAGGGCGCGUAGGCGGCCUGUUAAGUAGGGGGUGAAAUCCUGUGGCUUAACUGCAGGGCUGCCUCCUAGACUGUUAGGCUCGAGCACGGUAGAGGCAGAUGGAAUUCCCGGUGUAGCGGUGGAAUGCGUAGAGAUCGGGAAGAACAUCGGUGGCGAAGGCGGUCUGCUGGGCCGUUGCUGACGCUGAGGCGCGACAGCGUGGGGAGCAAACAGG